AUGUAGCCCAGAGGCCAGCAGAGACAUUGGGUACUGGGGUGUUUUGUGAGAAGAGGACCAGUAUGCAGAAAACCAAACUUGGGCUGAUUUGAGGUCAAGGACAGGGGAUAUACUGAUGCCACAAGAGUCACAGCUGUCCUACAGCAGCAGUUCACAGACAGCACUCACUGUGAUGAGCAGGAUAAAUGUGCUCCCAGAAACGGACUCAACAAACGUCUACGGAGUGACUGUUACUAAUGUGCCCAGACACUGUUUAAGGAGAUAGGGUCAUGACCCAGUCAAGGGGAGCAAAGACAUUGUGAGGUGAAGCGGGUGGAGCAGACAAUGAAGAGAAAUCUCAACCACUCAUGGUCCUUCCCUCAAGACAUCUUGGUCAAGGCCCUGAAGGAGUCAUGCCACUGAACAGUGAAUCUCGAUCUGUUACCAGGCUAUAUGUCACCUGUAGUGGCAGACUCUCUGAUGGCUGCCGGCAAGGGGAGCCAUUUGUCUCCAAGGAUCCCAUCUUCCUGCAAGUGCCUAAAAAAGAAAGGAAUCAUUGGCUGCUUCCAGAACUGCAAAGCCAGAGAGCACAUGAGUGGCCCCAGCUCACCUCCUCCAAACUCCCAUGAUGCCUUAGGUGUAUACCAGGUAGGCAGAACAGAAACAUCCUAGAAACAGGUGGAGCUCAGAGAGGGGAUUGCUUCCUCUGGGUAGGGCACGAACUCUAAGACCACGUUUGGGCUCUGCCACCGCCUACUUGUAAGAUGCUGGACAAAUUAACCUCGCCUCUCGGCUCCGUCAUCAGUGAAGCUGGGAUGACAGAAGCACCUGCUUCCCAGGAUCAGGGCGAAGUGAAGCGAGCUAUGUCUUCCGAGUUCUUAGAACUGCCUGUGCAUGUAGUAAGAGCCACACCAGCACCAGGACACAAAAAUAAAAUGCAGGAGUGUAGAGUCUGCCAAGGGGCAGUGCCUGGGCACUGA
Molecule: long non-coding RNA, 959 nt
Organism: Mastomys coucha (southern multimammate mouse)
Lineage: Eukaryota; Metazoa; Chordata; Mammalia; Rodentia; Muridae
Exons: 3
Source: RefSeq, a predicted model, not a curated record